RNAcentral lists this long non-coding RNA (809 nucleotides) under Carica papaya (papaya). RNAcentral's name for it is "long non-coding RNA (CPAP_LNC000363)". The record is from RNAcentral. Lineage: Eukaryota; Viridiplantae; Streptophyta; Magnoliopsida; Brassicales; Caricaceae.
GAUGGCCCAGAUCUCACGCGUGCGGACGAUCCAGAUUGAAUCACGCACGGACAGCCUAGAUCACAUCGUGAUGGACGGUCCAGAUUUAUUCCCAUUUUAAUCGCGAUCAGACGGCCCAUAUUAAAUUGUGAAGGACGGCUGAGAUUAAAAGGGAAAGGUUAUAAAUAACCUCACCCACACCUGACCCUAAACCCUAGUCGCUAGUACCCUCACCGGAGAAGAAGAACCAGUCACCAGAGGAGCCGGCCGCCGCCACUCGCCGCCGCACCGAAGGGUUUUUUGACCACCAAACGAGGUAAAUUUUCUCCCUUUGGCUCGUUUUUCGAUGCUGAAUCUGCCUAUGGCCAAAUCGGAGCCAAACGACUAGCUAAUCGGCUAGAAAACAACGCCGAAGUCCAGCAGCGCCGUCGCGGCUUCCCUCGAUUUUUGCCUGCGAUGAGGCCCUUUCUGGUUCCUGUUCGAUGCAAUUUUUACACCACUGUGAUCACCGUCAUUUUCUCUAUAGGUUGACUAGAGCAAAACAUCAAAUCGUGACUCGCACCGGAGAAGCCGCCGCACCCGAGAGCUCCACCGCCGGUAAGUCUUAGUUUUUUGUGAUUUUUUGGUCCACCGAGGGCCGUAGGGUUGUUUUAUCGCAGGAACCAAUGCAAGUUUGGCCGAAUUUGGCUGAAAAUGGCCAACCCGAGGCAGAUUGCCGCCGCGGGCGGCGGUGCCGUCGCUGGAGCACGGUGGAGCCGCCGUGCUGGAAUUCUGAUAUUGGCCAAAAAGGGGCCUUGGGUCUGAUUUGGGGUUUUUGGGACACGUGUAGG